Molecule: ribosomal RNA, 468 nt
Filed under: uncultured bacterium
Lineage: Bacteria
Description: partial 16S ribosomal RNA
Rfam family: Bacterial small subunit ribosomal RNA
Source: RNAcentral
GACGAACGCUGGCGGCGUGCUUAACACAUGCAAGUCGAACGGAAAGGCCCUGCUUUUGUGGGGUGCUCGAGUGGCGAACGGGUGAGUAACACGUGAGUAACCUGCCCUUGACUUUGGGAUAACUUCAGGAAACUGGGGCUAAUACCGGAUAGGAGCUCCUGCUGCAUGGUGGGGGUUGGAAAGUUUCGGAGGUUGGGGAUGGACUCGCGGCUUAUCAGCUUGUUGGUGGGGUAGUGGCUUACCAAGGCUUUGACGGGUAGCCGGCCUGAGGGGGUGACCGGCAACAUUGGGACUGAGGUACAGCCCAGACUCCUACGGGGGGCAGCAGUGGGGAAUAGUGCACAAUGGGCGGAAGCCUGGUGCAGCAACGCCGCGUGCGGGAUGACGGCCUUCAGGUUGUAAACCGCUUUCGCCUGUGACGAAGCGUGAGUGACGGUAAUGGGUAAAGAAGCACCGGCUAACUACGUG